RNAcentral lists this ribosomal RNA (503 nucleotides) under uncultured bacterium. RNAcentral describes it as "partial 16S ribosomal RNA". It matches the Rfam family "Bacterial small subunit ribosomal RNA", at positions 28 to 507 of the family's 1533-position model. The record is from RNAcentral.
GACGAACGCUGGCGGCGUGCUUAACACAUGCAAGUCGAACGGUGAAGCGCUUUCCUUUUUGGUUGGUGUGGAUGAGUGGCGAACGGGUGAGUAACACGUGAGUAACCUGCCCCCUUCUUCUGGAUAACCGCAUGAAAGUGUGGCUAAUACGGGAUAUUCUGCGCCUGCUGCAUGGUGGGUGUGGGAAAGAUUGUGCCUUUGGGUGUGUUCGGUGGGGGAUGGGCUCGCGGCCUAUCAGCUUGUGGGUGGGGUGAUGGCCUACCAAGGCGGUGACGGGUAGCCGGCCUGAGAGGGUGGACGGUCACACUGGGACUGAGACACGGCCCAGACUCCUACGGGAGGCAGCAGUGGGGAAUACUGCACAAGGGGCGCAAGCCUGAUGCAGCGACGCCGCGUGAGGGAUGGAGGCCUUCGGGUUGUGAACCUCUUUCGCCAGUGAAGCAGGCCUGCUCCGUGUGGGUGGGUUGACGGUAGCUGGAUAAGAAGCGCCGGCUAACUACGUG